This 732-nucleotide ribosomal RNA is filed under the name uncultured archaeon. RNAcentral's name for it is "bacterial SSU rRNA". It matches the Rfam family "Archaeal small subunit ribosomal RNA", at positions 1 to 712 of the family's 1478-position model. The record is from RNAcentral.
UUCCGGUUGAUCCUGCCGGACCUUACUGCUAUCGGGGUGGGACUAAGACAUGCGAGUCGAGCGUUUCUAGCUAUGUUGAGACGCGGCAGACGGCUCAGUAACACGUGGCUAACCUACCCUCAGGACGAGGAUAACCCCGGGAAACUGGGGCUAAUAUUCGAUAGGUGAGGAUGCCUGGAAUGGUUUCUCACUCAAAGGGCUUUAGAUACAUGCUUCUAACGUCGCCUGGGGAUGGGGCCGCGACCGAUCAGGUUGUUGGUGAGGUAAUGGCUCACCAAGCCUAUAACCGGUACGGGCCAUGAGAGUGGUAGCCCGGAGAUGGGUACUGAGACAAGGACCCAGGCCCUACGGGGCGCAGCAGUCGCGAAAACUCCGCAAUGCACGAAAGUGUGACGGGGCUACCCCGAGUGCCAUCCGCUGAGGUUGGCUUUUCUUUGGUAUAACUAGCCAGGGGAAUAAGGAGAGGGCAAGACUGGUGUCAGCCGCCGCGGUAAUACCAGCUCUCCGAGUGGUAGGGAUGAUUAUUGGGCUUAAAGCGUCCGUAGCCUGCUUAGCAAGUCUCCUGUUAAAUUCAGCGACCUAAUCGUUGAGCCGCGGGAGAUACUACUAGGCUAGGAGGCGGGAGAGGUCGACGGUACUUCUGGGGUAGGGGUGAAAUCCUAUAAUCCCGGGAGGACCACCAGUGGCGAAGGCUGUCGACUAGAACGCGCUCGACGGUGAGGGACGAAAGCU